UGAGGAAUAUUGGUCAAUGGGGGCAACCCUGAACCAGCCAAGUCGCGUGAAGGAUGAAGGUCUUAUGGAUUGUAAACUUCUUUUACACGGGAAUAAAGUGGGGGACGUGUCCCCCUUUGCAUGUACCGUGUGAAUAAGGAUCGGCUAACUCCGUGCCAGCAGCCGCGGUAAUACGGAGGAUCCGAGCGUUAUCCGGAUUUAUUGGGUUUAAAGGGUGCGCAGGCGGGAUGUUAAGUCGGCGGUGAAAUUUUGCAGCUCAACUGUAAAAGUGCCUUCGAUACUGGCCUCCUUGAGUGUGGAUGAAGUAGGCGGAAUUUGUGGUGUAGCGGUGAAAUGCUUAGAUAUCACGAGGAACUCCGAUUGCGAAGGCAGCUUACUAAGCUACAACUGACACUGAAGCACGAAAGCGUGGGGAUCAAACA
RNAcentral lists this ribosomal RNA (422 nucleotides) under uncultured bacterium. RNAcentral describes it as "bacterial SSU rRNA". It matches the Rfam family "Bacterial small subunit ribosomal RNA", at positions 355 to 774 of the family's 1533-position model. The record is from RNAcentral.